AUUGAACGCUGGCGGCAUGCCUUACACAUGCAAGUCGAACGGCAGCGGGGGAGAAGCUCGCUUUUCCUGCCGGCGAGUGGCGAACGGGUGAGUAAUACAUCGGAACGUGCCCUGUAGUGGGGGAUAACUAGUCGAAAGAUUAGCUAAUACCGCAUACGACCUGAGGGUGAAAGGGGGGGACCGCAAGGCCUCAUGCUAUAGGAGCGGCCGAUGUCUGAUUAGCUAGUUGGUGGGGUAAAGGCCUUCCAAGGCGACGGAUAGUAGGUGGUCCGAGGGGGCGAACAGGCACCCUUGGAAUGAGGAAACGCCCAAAACCCCAACGGAGGGAACAAGUGGGAAUUUUGGACAAAGGGGCGAAAGCCUGUCCCGGCAAUGCGGGGGGUGUGAGAAGGGCCUCGGGUUUGAAAGCACCUUUGUCCGGAAAGAAAUGGCUCUGGUUAAUACCUGGGGUCGAUGACGGUACCGGAAGAAUAAGGACCGGCUAACUACGUGCCAGCCGCCGCGGUAA
Molecule: ribosomal RNA, 508 nt
Filed under: uncultured bacterium
Lineage: Bacteria
Description: partial 16S ribosomal RNA
Rfam family: Bacterial small subunit ribosomal RNA
Source: RNAcentral